This 459-nucleotide ribosomal RNA is filed under the name uncultured bacterium. RNAcentral's name for it is "partial 16S ribosomal RNA". It matches the Rfam family "Bacterial small subunit ribosomal RNA", at positions 338 to 795 of the family's 1533-position model. The record is from RNAcentral.
CCUACGGGUGGCAGCAGUGAGGAAUAUUGGUCAAUGGACGAGAGUCUGAACCAGCCAAGUAGCGUGAAGGAUGACUGCCCUAUGGGUUGUAAACUUCUUUUGUCAAGGGACAAAAUCAGGCUCGAGAGCCUGACCGAGGGUACUUGAAGAAAAAGCAUCGGCUAACUCCGUCCCAGCAGCCGCGGUAAUACGGAGGAUGCGAGCGUUAUCCGGAUGUAUUGGGUUUAAAGGGUGCGUAGGCGGACUGUUAAGUCAGCGGUAAAAGCCCGGGGCUAAACCCCGGCGAGCCGUUGAAACUGGCUGUCUUGAGAUGUCGAGAGGUAUGCAGAAUGCGCAGUGUAGCGGUGAAAUGCGUAGAUAUUGCGCAGAACUCCGAUUGCGAAGGCAGCAUACCGGCGGCGAUCUGACGCUGAGGCACGAAAGCGUGGGUAUCGAACAGGAUUAGAUACCCCAGUAGUC